GCCUGCCACAAGGCCGCUGAUAUGAGCCAUGUCACACAUCAAUACUGCUCCAAUCUUAUCUGCAACUUGCCUAAACCUGGCGUAAUCCCAUUCUCUUGGGUAUGAGCUUCCACCACAAAUAAGUAUCUUGGGUCUAAAAUCCAUUGCCUUGUCCUCCAUCUUAUCAUAAUCAAUAUACCCAGUUUGUAGAUUCACUUUGUAAGGCAAACUCUCAAAGAAAAUCGACGAAGCAGACACCUUUUUUCCACCCGAAGUAUAAUAUCCAUGACUCAAAUGCCCCCCAGAAGGUGAAUCCAAACCCAUAAUCCG
Molecule: unclassified non-coding RNA, 309 nt
Filed under: Hevea brasiliensis (rubber tree)
Lineage: Eukaryota; Viridiplantae; Streptophyta; Magnoliopsida; Malpighiales; Euphorbiaceae
Source: RNAcentral